UAAUAUGGUAUUUGUGCAAAUUAAAUAAAUGUGCAUAAUUAAUUACGGAUUGCUAAUGGAGCCCGAACCGAAAAUUGUUCUAUGUUGAUUUCUGUUGAUUUAUUUUACAGUCUAAAAGUAUGAUAGUAUCUGGUUUAUAACUUUAAUGAUUUGAAUGCAUGAAUUGCUACCUUACGUGACUACUGUUUGAUUGGAAAAUUGAGAUAUGAUUGCAUUCCCUGAUGCAUGUUUGUUUGCUUAUGUGAUCAUGGUUGAUUUGGAAAAUGGAGACUAAAAAAAACGGGAAAGUUGUGUGGUUAAAUAAAUAUAUGGAACGACACCUUACUAGAUAUCCUGGAAGAUGGUGGAUGGACCGGUACAUAGGGAACCCUACCGUGAACGUUGUCCCAUACCGGACGGGGUAUAGAGACUUGGUAAUUUGGCGCUCAUACCGGACGGGGUAUGGGGACGGCUCGCUUCACCCUCAUACCGGAUGGGGUAUUGAGGUUUAAUAAUUUGGCACUCAUACCGGACGGGAUAUGGGGAUGGCCUAUAAUUGAGAUUGUUAAAGGAAAGGGGUCACAUGUAGCAAGGACAUCCCUAUGAACCCCCAUGGAUACUAGCAGGUUGGUGAAAAGGUGACAGUUAUUGUUUGGUUACUUGACGAUGUGUAUAGAUUUAUGAUAUAUGCUAUGUUGUUGAUCUUACAUGAAAUUAUGAUCUAUAUGAUAUUAUUGUCUG
RNAcentral lists this long non-coding RNA (720 nucleotides) under Carica papaya (papaya). RNAcentral's name for it is "long non-coding RNA (CPAP_LNC001837)". The record is from RNAcentral. Lineage: Eukaryota; Viridiplantae; Streptophyta; Magnoliopsida; Brassicales; Caricaceae.